UGGGGAAUUUUGGACAAUGGGCGUAAGCCUGAUCCAGCCAUGCCGCGUGAGUGAAGAAGGCCUUCGGGUUGUAAAGCUCUUUCGGUGGGGAAGAAAUUGCUUCGAUUAAUACUCGGAGCAGAUGACGGUACCCGCAUAAGAAGCACCGGCUAACUACGUGCCAGCAGCCGCGGUAAUACGUAGGGUGCGAGCGUUAAUCGGAAUUACUGGGCGUAAAGCGUGCGCAGGCGGUGAUGUAAGACAGAUGUGAAAUCCCCGGGCUCAACCUGGGAACUGCGCUUGUGACUGCUAAGCCAGAGUACGGCAGAGGGGGGUGGAAUUCCACGUGUAGCAGUGAAAUGCGUAGAGAUGUGGAGGAACACCGAUGGCGAAGGCAGCCCCCUGGGCCGAUACUGACGCUCAUGCACGAAAGCGUGGGUAGCAAACA
RNAcentral lists this ribosomal RNA (427 nucleotides) under uncultured bacterium. RNAcentral describes it as "bacterial SSU rRNA". It matches the Rfam family "Bacterial small subunit ribosomal RNA", at positions 355 to 774 of the family's 1533-position model. The record is from RNAcentral.